GUACCUUGACCUCGUGCCGAUCCUGGAGGUCCGACGUGAACAGGCGGAGUUUUCUGUUGGUGGCGGCCGUGCAAAAUCUGCAAAGACACGGAAGCCAGCGUGUGAAAACAAAGCAAAAAAAUGCAAAAAGGGAUCUCUUACAUUGGAUCUCAUUGUGUAUUCUUCAAAAAUAAAAAUGAGUCACGCGCCUCCCCCACCCUCGUCUCUCACACUACCUCCGAGGCCCCCGCCUGAGUGGUUUCCUGGCAGCUUACGUGCGACGAUGGAACCCGAGCGUCGAGUCAUCGGCGCAACAACACGCGCGCACGUCACAACGCCUGGCCGCGACUCGGCCCGCGGGUUGGCCCGCGGCGGCGCGAGCGCCACGGGGCCUCGCCAUUACGCAACGACGACACUCCGAUGCCGGCACCCUCCGACCCGGCUAGCCGAUUAGCGGCAGGGAAACUGCUGCUGUCUAACAACUGCGUCGAUAGGAGUGUAAAAAGGGGUACACCCUUUUUAGUGACCAAAUCGCUACGUGGGCAACACUGGCUCCUCUCUCCUCGUAGCCAUGUUGUUGUGUGCCAACGACCCACCUGGAAGAGGCAGGUGCCCACCACCACGCAC
Molecule: long non-coding RNA, 606 nt
Organism: Phyllopteryx taeniolatus (common seadragon)
Lineage: Eukaryota; Metazoa; Chordata; Actinopteri; Syngnathiformes; Syngnathidae
Exons: 3
Source: RefSeq, a predicted model, not a curated record